Molecule: long non-coding RNA, 485 nt
Organism: Hylaeus volcanicus
Lineage: Eukaryota; Metazoa; Arthropoda; Insecta; Hymenoptera; Colletidae
Exons: 4
Source: RefSeq, a predicted model, not a curated record
AUCCAAUCGCUUCCGUUUCCGAGGAAGGGGAUGCAGCCGUUGCUUUGCGGGGGAGGCGGCGAGGGAGAGGGGCCGACGAAGAAAGCGAAGAGGUGGCAGCCGCGUGUCGAAAGAGAUUCGAAUAUAUACCCCUUCAAACCUCGCGGGAAGUUGGCUGAUGGCAAGAGCAGUAUUCCCUCGCUAGAUGAUCGAGCGUCGGGCUCACUUUUGUUCAUCAACGGAGCGAUCGAUUAGUAAGCAGCGGAGGACUCAGGUUCAGUUAUCGAGGGAAUAUUCUACAUCUCAGGCAAAUGAGAACUGCUGAGGUCGGGACUCAUUGUCAGAGGUCUCGGCAUCUUUGAGAGGAGUGGGUGGAACGCCUGCCGGUGCCCCACCGUUUCGAUCUUAGCGUGUGCGUAAGAAUGCAUACACAGCUUGCAAUUUAUACGUCGACGCACCUCGUGCGAGCGAAUGCGCGUUUACCUGCGUAGAUAGACGCGAAAGAG